UUGAAGGAAAAAAACGUAACAAGGUUUCCGUAGGUGAACCUGCGGAAGGAUCAUUGUCGAAACCUGCCCAGCAGAAAGACCCGUGAACAUGUUGUUUAUCACUAAGGGCGAGGGAAGCACACGCGCUCGGACCCUCAUUGCUUUGUGUGUGUGUCGGCUUCGGCACACGCUCUAGGCAUCAAACCUAAACCCGGCGCGGAUUGCGUCAAGGAAAAUCAAACAAACGAGCAAGGUUGGGGAGGCACCGGAAACGGUUUGCCCUCAACAACUUAUUCGUGAAUGGCAUAAGUCAAAACGACUCUCGGCAACGGAUAUCUCGGCUCUCGCAUCGAUGAAGAACGUAGCGAAAUGCGAUACUUGGUGUGAAUUGCAGAAUCCCGUGAACCAUCGAGUCUUUGAACGCAAGUUGCGCCCGAAGCCUUUUGGCCGAGGGCACGUCUGCCUGGGCGUCACACACCGUUGCCCCCCAAUCCCCACUGUCUUCAUGGCGCGGGGGUCUGUCGGGGGCGGAUGAUGGCCUCCUGUGAUUGUUUUCAUUGCGGUUGGCCUAAAUACGAGUCCUCCGUCACGCCAAGUGGCAAAAGGUGGUUGUCGAUUAUCCGGUGCCCCGUUGCUUGGCGUGGUCGACAUUUGAGACUUUAAAUGACCCCUAACGCACCUUUUUUGGUGCCUCCAACGCGACCCCAGGUCAGGCGGGGCUACCCGCUGAGUUUAAGCAUAUCAAA
This 725-nucleotide ribosomal RNA is filed under the name Fatoua pilosa. RNAcentral's name for it is "eukaryotic LSU rRNA". The stretch from base 297 to 452 matches the Rfam family "5.8S ribosomal RNA". The record is from RNAcentral. Lineage: Eukaryota; Viridiplantae; Streptophyta; Magnoliopsida; Rosales; Moraceae.